GAUGAACGCUGGCGGCGUGCCUAAUACAUGCAAGUCGAGCGAACAGACGAGGAGCUUGCUCCUCUGACGUUAGCGGCGGACGGGUGAGUAACACGUGGAUAACCUACCUAUAAGACUGGGAUAACUUCGGGAAACCGGAGCUAAUACCGGAUAAUAUAUUGAACCGCAUGGUUCAAUAGUGAAAGACGGUUUUGCUGUCACUUAUAGAUGGAUCCGCGCCGCAUUAGCUAGUUGGUAAGGUAACGGCUUACCAAGGCAACGAUGCGUAGCCGACCUGAGAGGGUGAUCGGCCACACUGGAACUGGGACACGGACCAGACUCCUACGGGAGGCAGCAGUAGGGAAUGUUCCGCAAUGGGCGAAAGCCUGACGGAGCAACGGCGAGUGAGUGAUGAAGGUCUUGGGAUCGUAAAACUCUGUUAUUAGGGAAGAACAAAUGUGUAAGUAACUAUGCACGGCUUGACGGUACCUGAUCAGAAAGCCACGGCUAACUACGUG
This 497-nucleotide ribosomal RNA is filed under the name uncultured bacterium. RNAcentral's name for it is "partial 16S ribosomal RNA". It matches the Rfam family "Bacterial small subunit ribosomal RNA", at positions 28 to 507 of the family's 1533-position model. The record is from RNAcentral.